GUCCUUUGUUUACAAUUACAUGUACAACUUUCUCCGACUUUCGAGGACGUGUUUUAUGCCACUUCUUUUUCUGUCUCAUUUUGUCCACCAAACUUAUAACGUUGUGCGUGAGUGCACAAAGUGAUAAAAUCGCACGCAUGCAAGACAGCACAACAACUCGCCCUGACAAACUGCUUGGUCAGUCCUCCUGCCUUUACAUCCGCAAGCAAUACAAGGUGGAACUCAUCUUCAAGGCAGACUGCGGGUACAUUUCCAGUGACGGACCUCAAGCGGCGAUUGUAGCUUUUUGAGCGUGAACAAUCUCCAUAUCUGCCAUAAAGGUGACGGUCCAAGAGGGGACUCUUCACAAAUCUACUGAGGGCAGCCGGGUCGCGGGGGGUCGCCGGAGCCUAGCUGCAUUCGGACGGAAGGCAGAGUACACUCUGGACAAGUCGCCACCUCAUCGCAGGGCCAACACAGAUAGACAUACAACAUUCACACUCACAUUCACACACUAGGACCAAUUUAGUGUUGCCAAUCAACUUAUCCCCAGGUGCAUGUCUUUGGAAGUGGGAGGAAGCCGGAGUACCCGGAGGGAACCCAUGCAGUCACGAGGAGAACAUGCAAACUCCACACAAAAAGACCCUGAGCCCGGGAUUGGACCCAGGACAACUCAGGACCUUCGUAUUGUGAGGCACAUGCACUAACCCCUGUUCCAUCGUGCUGCCCCAGAUAUUUUGUAAAUGUGAGUAAUACGUAACUAUAGUUAUUUGUUAUAUUGACAUUUGUUGUGUUUGGACUGCAAUUAAUCAA
This is a long non-coding RNA of Nerophis ophidion (straightnose pipefish), 792 nucleotides long. RefSeq lists it as uncharacterized. The record is from RefSeq and is a predicted model, not a curated record. The transcript is spliced from 3 exons. Lineage: Eukaryota; Metazoa; Chordata; Actinopteri; Syngnathiformes; Syngnathidae.